GUCCCCAUCGUCUAGCGGUCCAGGACAUCGGCCUCUCACGCCGAAAACGGGGGUUCGAUUCCCCCUGGGGACGCCA
Molecule: transfer RNA, 76 nt
Filed under: Alphaproteobacteria bacterium
Lineage: Bacteria; Pseudomonadati; Pseudomonadota; Alphaproteobacteria
Description: tRNA-Glu
Rfam family: tRNA
About the family: Transfer RNA (tRNA) molecules are approximately 80 nucleotides in length.
Source: RNAcentral